UGGAGGUGAUGACAAUUUCCCCA
RNAcentral lists this non-coding RNA (23 nucleotides) under Arabidopsis thaliana (thale cress). Lineage: Eukaryota; Viridiplantae; Streptophyta; Magnoliopsida; Brassicales; Brassicaceae. The record is from RNAcentral.